UACGUAGGGGGCAAGCGUUAUCCGGAAUUAUUGGGCGUAAAGAGUGCGUAGGUGGUUUUGUAAGCGCGGGGUGAAAGGCAAUGGCUCAACCAUUGUAAGCCUUGUGAACUGCAAGACUUGAGUGCAGGAGAGGAAAGUGGAAUUCCUAGUGUAGCGGUGAAAUGCGUAGAUAUUAGGAGGAACACCAGUGGCGAAGGCGACUUUCUGGACUGUAACUGACACUGAGGCACGAAAGCGUGGGGAGCAAACAGGAUUAGAACCUCCG
This 265-nucleotide ribosomal RNA is filed under the name uncultured bacterium. RNAcentral's name for it is "partial 16S ribosomal RNA". It matches the Rfam family "Bacterial small subunit ribosomal RNA", at positions 524 to 789 of the family's 1533-position model. The record is from RNAcentral.